RNAcentral lists this ribosomal RNA (497 nucleotides) under uncultured bacterium. RNAcentral's name for it is "partial 16S ribosomal RNA". It matches the Rfam family "Bacterial small subunit ribosomal RNA", at positions 28 to 507 of the family's 1533-position model. The record is from RNAcentral.
GAUGAACGCUGGCGGCGUGCCUAAUACAUGCAAGUCGAGCGAACAGACGAGGAGCUUGCUCCUCUGACGUUAGCGGCGGACGGGUGAGUAACACGUGGAUAACCUACCUAUAAGACUGGGAUAACUUCGGGAAACCGGAGCUAAUACCGGAUAAUAUAUUGAACCGCAUGGUUCAAUAGUGAAAGACGGUUUUGCUGUCACUUAUAGAUGGAUCCGCGCCACAUUAGCUAGUUGGUAAGGUAACGGCUUACCAAGGCAACGAUGCGUAGCCGACCUGAGAGAGUGAUCGGCCACAAUGGAACUGAGAAACGGUCCAGACUCCUAAGGGAGGCAGCAGUAGGGAAUCUUCCGCAAUGGGCGAAAGCCUGACGGAACAACGACGCGUGAGUGAUGAAGGUCUUCGGAUCGUAAAACUCUGUUAUUAGGGAAGAACAAAUGUGUAAGUAACUAUGCACGUCUUGACGGUACCUAAUCAGAAAGCCACGGCUAACUACGUG